UAUGGAUGUUAAAUGAGGUAGAGAAGUUCCUGUCACAUCAGUGAGGCUUGUAGACGUUAAUGAAGUAGAAGAGUUCCUGUCACGUGCCUAGUUUCAAUUUCCACCUGAAAUAUGACACCAUUCAACAAUGUCAUUUUAGAGAAGAUUAAGUAUCCUGGUAUGUGACACAGUGAACUCGAUUUUUAAAUUAUGCACCUUGAAAUAAUGAAAACAAAAUAAAAUGGAAGCUCUAUUUGUCAGGAGCCUGCUAUCUGGCUUUGGAAAGUCCUUGAUAAUCGUUCUCAGCACAGAAGGAGACCAGCUCUUAAUAUCAACCUUGCCCUAUUGAGAAAGGAAUUUACCCUUAAGAGCUGUUGAAGAGAGCAAAGAUCAUCUUGUAGCCAUCAAGCAGAUCAUCCA
This is a long non-coding RNA of Homo sapiens (human), 399 nucleotides long. RefSeq lists it as uncharacterized. The record is from RefSeq and is a predicted model, not a curated record. Lineage: Eukaryota; Metazoa; Chordata; Mammalia; Primates; Hominidae. The transcript is spliced from 4 exons.